ACCCUUCUGGCCUAAUGGAUAAGGCAUCUCCCUCCUAAGGAGAAGAUUCUGAGUUCGAGUCUCAGGUAGGGUG
Molecule: transfer RNA, 73 nt
Filed under: Blastocystis sp. ATCC 50177/Nand II
Lineage: Eukaryota; Bigyra; Opalinata; Blastocystidae
Description: Blastocystis sp. ATCC 50177 tRNA
Rfam family: tRNA
About the family: Transfer RNA (tRNA) molecules are approximately 80 nucleotides in length. Their secondary structure includes four short double-helical elements and three loops (D, anti-codon, and T loops).
Source: Rfam by way of RNAcentral